GGAUUCCCCUAGUAACUGCGAGUGAAGAGGGAAAAGCUCAAAUUUAAAAUCUGGUAGUCUAUGGCUGCCCGAGUUGUAAUCUAGAGAAGCAUUAUCCGCGCCGGACCAUGUACAAGUUUCCUGGAAUGGAGCGUCAUAGAGGGUGAGAAUCCCGUCUUUGACAUGGGCUACCGGGGCUUUGUGAUGUGCUCUCCAAGAGUCGAGUUGUUUGGGAAUGCAGCUCUAAAUGGGUGGUAAAUUCCAUCUAAAGCUAAAUAUUGGCGAGAGACCGAUAGCGAACAAGUACCGUGAGGGAAAGAUGAAAAGAACUUUGGAAAGAGAGUUAAACAGUACGUGAAAUUGUUGAAAGGGAAACGCUUGAAGUCAGUCGCGUCUGCCAGGAAUCAACCUUGGCUGGGUGUACUUUCUGGUUGACGGGUCAGCAUCAAUUUUGAUCAGUGGAAAAAGUUCAGAGGAAUGUGGCACCUUCGGGUGUGU
Molecule: ribosomal RNA, 477 nt
Filed under: Gerhardtia incarnatobrunnea
Lineage: Eukaryota; Fungi; Basidiomycota; Agaricomycetes; Agaricales; Lyophyllaceae
Description: eukaryotic LSU rRNA
Rfam family: Eukaryotic large subunit ribosomal RNA
Source: RNAcentral